AUGCCUGGUCGUAUAGCAACAUACACGUCAACUUAUUACAUGAACUUCAAAAGAUAGAAAGAAAAUUGAGUCGAUAGAACGAAGUAAAGAAAGGAAGAAAUGGCAGCUGCAACUGCAAACUACCUCUUAAAAGCAAGAGCAACCUUUCUCCUUUCCUGCUACAACCAUAACUUCAACCCUCGUUUACUCCCAUUUUCUCUCUCUACAAUCUCUUUCCGCCAUCCAAAUAGCAGACGCCAUUUUCGCUGCCUUUGUACAGCCGCGGAUGCAUCAACUUCUUCAACCGUCAUCGAUUCGAAUGCUUCUUCUUCUCCUGGAUCCGAAGAUCCGGACAUGGGUUCCGUGAAGGAGUCGGCGAAUUUGCUUGAUAUUAGGGUUGGUAAGGUUUUGAAGGCAUGGAGACAUCCUGAUGCUGAUUCUUUGUAUGUCGAGGAGGUUGAUGUUGGAGAAGAUGAGCCUAGAACUAUUUGCAGCGGCCUUGUCAAAUAUGUUCCUAUUGAUGAUUUACAGGACAAAAAAGUAGUUGUCCUGGCUAAUCUGAAACCAAGAAAUAUGCGUGGCAUCAAGUCCAAUGGUAUGCUUAUGGCUGCUUCUGAUGAGUCUCACGAGAAUGUUGAGCUCCUUGUGCCUCCUGAAGAUUCAGUCCCAGGAGAGAGAAUUUGGUUUGGCUUGGAAGAGGACAAGGAAAAUCAACCUGCUCCUGCCUCUCCAAACCAGAUUCAGAAGAAAAAGGUGUGGGAAUUAGUGCAGCCUCAUCUCAAGACGGAUGCUACUUGCAUAGCAAUGCUUGAUGGAAAUUACAUGAGGACUUCUGCAGGUCUUGUAGUUUCCAAAUCCCUCAAAAAUGCAAAUAUAUCUUAAUUGAGUGGAGCUCUCCUGCGACAUCCAGCUCAUUUUUGGUCUUAUUCAUAGUUGGUUCAUCUAAGUAAGACGAGCCUUUUCAACUCCAUUUUGCUAUUUUAGCAACUUCUAUUUGCAAAAUUCAAAGAAGUUGGGUUCUGGGAUCGCAAUAAAAUUGGUCCUAGAAGUUUUCUUCCCCCAAUUGAUGAUCACCUGAGGUCCGGCUUAAGAUGGUAUUCGAGCUCCAAAGGCUCUGAAAUACUCAUCCGUUCACGCGUUGCUUGGUAAUUGAAUUUUCGGCCAACUUCUUGGUUGUUUAUUUGCUUUUAAUUGUUCAUGUGUCAAAUAAUCUAAUAAAUUAUUAGAGAGAAGGAGCACACUCCCUCCUAUGGUUAGGGUUCCGGUGGACUAAUUCUGUCACUGGCAAUACCCAGGUCAUUAUGGUAGCGCUUAGGUGUGGAGUAGGCGGCAAACACUAUUUAUCGCUUCGCCCACUCCCAUGGUCUACUGUUGUUCUUUCCCAUACCCCAGUGCUGAUGUACGUGUGAUUAGGAAGAACACACUUAAAUGUAAAAGUUUCUAGUUUGUUUCUAUAAAGAAUAGAGAAGAAUAAUUAGAUAUAAAAAAAGAAUAGUAGAAGAAAAUUGAUAAGAGCCAAAUCACAAGACAAACUCAAUGAUUUGGAAUUUAGGCUAGAGAUAAGAACACGCUCAAUCUACCCUAAAAUUAACACUCAAGAUAAACUCAAAGUGAUAAUUGGAGUUACUAUUUCUUUGGACAAACUCAAAGAAGAAAACCAAUGUAUAAACUCAAGGUUUAAAAUGAUUAAUCAACAACUUGUUUUUUUUUCAUUUCAUAAGGCCUCUUUAUAUCGAGCUAAGUACAAGCUUUUAGAAUGCUUACAUAUACAAUGAAACACUUAAAUUUAAUGAGCAAUAAAAGCUAGAGAAUGAAGCACUAAAAGUCUAGUAUAUGAAGCAUCAAAGGUCUAGUACAUGAAGCACCAAAAGUUCCUUAUUAAAUGUACUAACUAUGUUGAUUUUUAAAAAAUCAACUAUUUAUAGACUCUUUUUUUUCUACCUUCUUUUAUUUUAAACUUCAAAAUAGACUUAAAAUGUUGGACAACCAAGAGUAACUUUUGGGUCAGCUACAUAUCCCCAACAUAAUUCCAAGUUAAGCAUGUGACAAAUUCCGGUUUAUGAAAAAAAGAUUUAUACCCGAGUGUCUCAAGAACCAAAGUAAUGGGUUAACGAACACUAAUACUCGAUCUUGGAUCAAGUGGGCAUGGCUCCUGGUGGUAGUCAAGGUGGUUGUUUUCUUUGGUUCCAAUGCCAAGAGGCUGCUAACUAUGAUAUCUCCUUCUACGGGGUAAGGGCUUUUCUUGUGAGGGCUCUUCUUUUGAGGUAAGUCUUGGCUGUUCCGAUGAUGGUUCCCAAGAUUAUUAGAUUCGAGAUUAUACUUGGGAUCGAAUCGAGCUCUUGUGAUCAGAUUGUACUAACUGUAAAAAAUUUGCAAUGAUUUUGAA
Molecule: RNA transcript, 2365 nt
Organism: Amaranthus tricolor (Joseph's coat)
Lineage: Eukaryota; Viridiplantae; Streptophyta; Magnoliopsida; Caryophyllales; Amaranthaceae
Exons: 4
Source: RefSeq, a predicted model, not a curated record